CCUACGGGAGGCAGCAGUGAGGAAUAUUGGUCAAUGGACGAGAGUCUGAACCAGCCAAGUAGCGUGAAGGAUGACUGCCCUAUGGGUUGUAAACUUCUUUUAUAUGGGAAUAAAACGUUCCACGUGUGGGAUUUUGUCUGUACCAUAUGAAUAAGGAUCGGCUAACUCCGUGCCAGCAGCCGCGGUAAUACGGAGGAUCCGAGCGUUAUCCGGAUUUAUUGGGUUUAAAGGGAGCGUAGGUGGAUUGUUAAGUCAGUUGUGAAAGUUUGCGGCUCAACCGUAAAAUUGCAGUUGAAACUGGCAGUCUUGAGUACAGUAGAGGUGGGCGGAAUUCGUGGUGUAGCGGUGAAAUGCUUAGAUAUCACGAAGAACUCCGAUUGCGAAGGCAGUUCACUGGACUGCAACUGACACUGAGGCUCGAAAGUGUGGGUAUCAAACAGGAUUAGAUACCCCGGUAGUC
RNAcentral lists this ribosomal RNA (460 nucleotides) under uncultured bacterium. RNAcentral describes it as "partial 16S ribosomal RNA". It matches the Rfam family "Bacterial small subunit ribosomal RNA", at positions 338 to 795 of the family's 1533-position model. The record is from RNAcentral.